RNAcentral lists this unclassified non-coding RNA (812 nucleotides) under Hevea brasiliensis (rubber tree). Lineage: Eukaryota; Viridiplantae; Streptophyta; Magnoliopsida; Malpighiales; Euphorbiaceae. The record is from RNAcentral.
GUAAUCAGUCUAAUUAAUCACUGCGAAUUUGUUAAAGAAUUAAUGGAUUACUUGGAUUUUCUGUAUUUUGGUAAAGAAAAUAUUUUCCUGUAUCUAUGAUGUGUGUACAGCAUUCUAUCGUGCUAAGAAAUAUGAUAGGUCUCUUACGGCCUAUUUUAUGGAUUUUAAAUGAGUAUAUGAAGAGUUUAAUGUUUUAUUGCCUUUCAACACUGAUGUGAAAGUGCAGCAGGUACAACGAGAGCAAAUGGCUAUUAUGAGUUUUUUUGCAGUUCUUCCCUCAGAAUAUGAAACUGCUAAAUCUCAGAUCCUGUUCAGCUUUGAGAUUUCCUCCCUGGAUGAUACGUUUACAUGUGUCCUUUGUACAGAAAGUACUCAUUUGUCACAACAACCUGCAAAUGGUGCUCUUGUUUGCCGCAAUACAAAUGGACAACAAGGUCAUAAGGGAGGAACUAGAGGCAAUAAAAUUAAUCAACGUAAUGGGGAGGUGAAUUCCAAACAAGACUCAAAGGGAAUCAUUUGUUAUUACUCCCAUGAGCCUGGUCAUACAAAAUAUAAUUGUUUGAAGCUUCAAAGGAAAAAUCAGCGGUCUCAGAUGGCAAAUAUGGCAGUAGAUGAUAAUCUUUCUUCCUUUGAAAAAACUAUCUCCGUAUCUGCAGAGGAGUAUGCACAGUUUUUCUAGUAUUAGGCAUCUCUAAAGUCUUCCAAUAUCCCUGUCACUGCCAUCGCUAAGUCAGGUAAAUCUACUACAUGUCUAGUAUCCUCCUCAUCCAAAUGAGUCAUAGAUUCUGGUGCUAUAAAUCAUAUGACAGGUA